Long non-coding RNA from Callithrix jacchus (white-tufted-ear marmoset), 1650 nucleotides. NCBI's taxonomy places the organism in Eukaryota, Metazoa, Chordata, Mammalia, Primates, Cebidae. The record is from Ensembl.
CUCAGCGGGCAGCAGGCCCUGCAGUAGACCGGCAGCCAUAAACCUCUGCUUGGACAGGAACUGCAGAGACCGGAGACAAAUGAGCUGCUUCGGAGGGGGACUGGCACUCCUUUUACAGGCACUGAGAGGCUUUCCAUGCAGAAUCAAAGCUGCAUUUUCUAAAGGAAAAUCUAGUGCUUAUAUUGAGUUUGGUAUGCUAUUUUCCAUUGUCUGUUCUUAUCCUGUAAGUUAUUUGGAAGUGUUCUAUUUUUAAUUUCAAAUGUGUAGAGACUUUAUGUUUACAUAUCUCCUUAGUGACUUUUUUUUUUUUUUUUGAGACGGAAUUUCGCUCUUGUUACCCAGGCUGGAGUGCAAUGGUGCAAUCUCGGCUCACCGCAACCUCCGCCUCCUGGGUGCAGGCAAUUCUCCUGCCUCAGCCUCCUGAGUAGCUGGGAUUACAGGCACGCACCCCCAUGCCCAGCUAAUUUUUUGUAUUUUUAGUAGAGACGGGGUUUCACAUGUUGACCAGGAUGGUCUCCAUCUCUUGACCUCGUGAUCCACCCGCCUCGGUCUCCCAAAGUGCUAGAAUUACAGGCGUGAGCCACCGCACCCGGCCCCUUAGUGACUUUUAAUUGUAUUGAGAUCAGACCACAUGGUCAGUAUGAUAUUAACAUUUUUUGAUGCAGUCAGAUUUGCUUUAUAUAGAUUAAUACAUGGUCAGGUUUGUAAAUGUUUCAUGGGUUUUUCAGAAUAAUCCAUAUUUGCUAAUUUCCUAAGUAGAAGAAUCUGUAUAUGUCUUUUAAAUAAAACUUUUUAAUUGAUGGUUAGAUAUUCUACAUUUUACCAUUUUGAGUAGGGUUUCUGUUUGAUCUAUCAAAAAUUGAGAGAAGUAUGUUCAAUUUUGCACGAUGACGGAAUUGUCAAUUUUUGGAUAUAUUACCAUCAACUUUUGCCUUAUGCAUUUAAAAUUAUUAAGAUACAUGUAUAUUAUAUUUUUAUACGUACACAAGAUUAGGAUUGUUAUAUAUUUCUGGUCAAGAAGAUUUGUUAUUAGGUAAUCUUUUCUGUUCUCAGCAAUAUUUUCUUCCUUAAGAUGUUUUGAUGGGGAUGGGAUGGUGGACUUCCAUUCUCCCUAGAGUCCAAAACAGAAUCUUGGAUGUAUUGGUUGGUAACUAAAACUGAAACUCUGGGAGACUGGCCAAGGUGGGAAACCUGAUGGGAGCAUUGAGGAACAAGGGAAUGAAAAGUCAGACUCUCUGAACAUUUGAUAAAAUGGACUCUUGUGAACAUUAACAGUGAAUAUUCACUGUUGCACUGUACGAAGUCUCUUAAAUUAAAAGUUUUUAUUGAACCUCCUCCAAAAAAAAAAAUAUAUAUAUAACCUUAAGUUAUAUACAUUAGGGAUUAGAUUUGUUUUAACAUCUCAUUUUUGUUUUCAAUUUGUCCUGUUUUUCAAAACUUCUACUUUCUUGCUUUUUGUUUUUUGAUUGAAGCAGUUGGUUGGUUGGCUGAUAGAUUGGUUGAAUUACUUGUCCCACAUCCCUCUCACCAACACUGCUUUGGAAUAUAUAUAUCCUUUAUUCUUAAAUAGUUGCUUUUUAUCAUCAAAUGUAACAUAGUGUAACAUUAAUAUUUUAAUCUUCAAGACAACUGCUUGUAUUUUAACUUCAG